CCCAGGUCCGGUUACACCUGCCUGACUGGGCAAGGCAUCCUCUGAAUCUUUCUGACACCAGCCUCUUUCCUGAUCGCCUUCUUGUGUUGACAUAUGCCUUUGGAGCCCUGGGUCAGCAUCUAAGAAGGUUGUCUGCCAUGAAGCUUACCUGCUGGAGGGCCCACACAGAGGUGGAAGGAGGAUUGGAUGCCCCAAGAGCCUGACCUUUUGCAGGCACCCACUGUUGGAGUCUCCUGGGCCAGAUGUGCAAGUGAGCAAACCUACCAAGGAUUCGAGUUCUCGACAUUGAACUGCCUCUGUGACCUGGAGCGAAGCUGACCCAGACUGAGCCCCUGAGCCCUGCCCUCACUACAGAUCAGUGAGCAAAAUAAAAGCUGUGGUUGUCUAAACCACUAGUUUUUGGAAGGUG
Suricata suricatta (meerkat) is the source of this 409-nucleotide long non-coding RNA. RefSeq lists it as uncharacterized. NCBI's taxonomy places the organism in Eukaryota, Metazoa, Chordata, Mammalia, Carnivora, Herpestidae. The record is from RefSeq and is a predicted model, not a curated record. The transcript is spliced from 2 exons.